Molecule: non-coding RNA, 1462 nt
Organism: Delphinapterus leucas (beluga whale)
Lineage: Eukaryota; Metazoa; Chordata; Mammalia; Artiodactyla; Monodontidae
Source: RefSeq, a predicted model, not a curated record
AGUUUCUCGGCGCCAUUUUGUCUGGGCAGCGGUGGCUGCAGGUCUACCGUAUUUUAUGUUUCUGGCGAGACGAGAGCGGAAUCUUUAUCCCGUGGAUUCAUUUAACUGCGGCAACCAUCCACCGUUCCCUCCAGGACAGCACCUAGUGAAGAUCGGAAGAGUAGCGAUCUGUCAGAAAGGUCAGUUGGAAGCGGUAGUUGUCCGGUGGACUGGGGGAUGGCGCAGCUCUAGCGGCACCGGCACCGGAAGUGAGGGGGCCGCUCGGCAGCCAUAGCAGAUUGGUCUGAAGAAAAGGACAGGUAAGUGACAAACAUCCGGAAGUAUUACUGAGAGGAAGCCUCGCUUUGUGGAAUAAUGAAGGAAAGUGUUCGUGUUUUUAAAUGACUUGGAUCUGCUCUCUGUUGAAAUUGUAUUUCUGCUCCCUGGCUCUUUGUCCACUCUCAUGUUGGAAAUGGUGAGAGAACUGAUGCUGAAUCAUAAGUAUGAUCCAUUGUAGACAUCUAAAUUUUUGCAUUGAAUCUUUACUAUCACUUGGUUGCUGCUGACUCUUAAACCAAUUGGUCUACUAAAGGUUCCUUUGAGAAUGACAGAAAUGAAAGCAAAGGGAUAGUCUUAUCAGACAAGUGCUUUUUUAUCUGAAUGUAUUCGGUUUCUUCCAUAAGAUGGCUUUAGUAGCACUUAGUUGUCUUUAACUUCAUUCGAAACAAUUUUGUUAGAUUGUAUCGUGAUAGCUGUUAUAUCAGCGUACUUUUUUAAAAAAGCAUCAAAAUUGGUGAAUUUUUGUGUAGCCAUUUUAAUAUUGAAGAUGGAAGGAAAAAACAGCAGCAUAUUAUGCUUUAUUCAAGAAAGGUUAAAACACAACUGAAAAGGCAAAACAUUCGUGCAGUGUAUGGAAAAGGUGCCGUGACUGAACGUGUCAAAAGUGGUUUGCAAAGUUUUGUGGCAGAGAUUUCUGACUGGACGAUGCUCCAUGGUCGGGGAGACCAGUUCAAGUUGAUAGCAAUCAGAUCGAGACGUAAAUUUCAGAACAAUCAACGUUAUACCACGCAGGAGGUAAGCCAACAUACUCAAAAUCUCCACAUCAGGUGUUGAAAAUCAUUUGCACCAGCUUGGUUAUGUUAAUCGCUUUGAUGUUUGGGUUCCACGUUAAGCGAAAGAAACCUUGACCAUAUUUCUGCACUGCGAUUCUCUACUUACGUAAUGAAAACAUUACGUUUUUAAAAACAAAUUGUGAUGGGCAAUGAAAAUUGGAUACUGUACAAUAAUGUGGAAUAGAAGAGAUGUUAUGGAAGAACCCGAAUGAACUUUUUUGGCCAACCCAAUAUUAUUUGUAAUCUCUAAACCAAAACUUUAUUCUUUAAAACGUUUGUAAUUUUCUUUCCUAGGUACCAGUAUCGAGGUUUACAGUAAUAAGGUAUUCAGUCUUUGCUGAAAAUAAAUUUGUUAUCUUGUCAAAGUAAAA